AUACGGAGGAUCCGAGCGUUAUCCGGAUUUAUUGGGUUUAAAGGGUGCGCAGGCGGCCAUUUAAGUCAGCGGUUAAAUCGUGGGGCUCAACCCCAUUCUGCCGUUGAUACUGGGUGGCUUGAUUGCGGUCGAGGUUGGCGGAAUUCGUUGUGUAGCGGUGAAAUGCGUAGACAUGACGCAGAACACCGAUUGCGUACGCAGCUCACCCGACCGCGAAGGUCGUACAUGCAACGAAGAGCGGGGAUCGAACAGGAUUAGAUACCGUGAUAGACCGCACAAUAAACGAUAAAUACUUGUUUUCGGAGAUAUAAUGUCGGAGGCAAAGCGAAAGCGAUAAAUAUUAGUCCUCGGGAUUACGCCAGCAACGGGGAAAUUAAAAGGAAUGAACGGGG
RNAcentral lists this ribosomal RNA (392 nucleotides) under uncultured bacterium. RNAcentral describes it as "partial 16S ribosomal RNA". It matches the Rfam family "Bacterial small subunit ribosomal RNA", at positions 523 to 918 of the family's 1533-position model. The record is from RNAcentral.